RNAcentral lists this unclassified non-coding RNA (396 nucleotides) under fungal sp. RNAcentral's name for it is "partial internal transcribed spacer region". The stretch from base 1 to 46 matches the Rfam family "Eukaryotic small subunit ribosomal RNA", at positions 1786 to 1831 of the family's 1831-position model. The record is from RNAcentral. Lineage: Eukaryota; Fungi.
AAGUCGUAACAAGGUUUCCGUAGGUGAACCUGCGGAAGGAUCAUUAACACGUAUCCAACGUUAAACAACCCUGUGAACCUUGAACGUGCUCCUGCAGCCCCAUGAAAUCAGCAAUCCCUGGUAAAUCAUUGUUGACCAGCUUUUGAGUCAGGGACCUCUGCCGAAACCCCUGGGACCCGGUUGCCGGCCGUGUGGGCCUCUAGCAAUCGUUUACUGCGCCAUCCUUACACAAUCAAUGACACUUUCAGACACUGAUCGCUUGGGGAUGCCAGGUCGCUUACACCGCGCUCGGUACUGAACAGCCCCUUUAUCACCCCACAGUUUCCGACUGGGCAGCCGAUAAUACGGACGCCGUAAAAAACUGAACAACUGUUAACAAUGGAUAUCUUGGUUCUC